GACGAACGCUGGCGGCGUGCUUAACACAUGCAAGUCGAACGGAAAGGCCCUGCUUUUGUGGGGUGAUCGAUGGGCGAACGGGUGAGUAACACGUGAGUAACGUGCCCUUGACUUUGGGAUAACUUCAGGAAACUGGGGCUAAUACAGGAUAGGAGCCCACGCUGCGUGGUGGGGGUGGGAAAGUUUCAGCGGUUGGGGAUGGAUUGGCGGAUGAUGAACUUGUUGGUGGGGUAGGGGCUUACCAAGGCUGGGAAGGGUAGGCCGCAUGGGAGCGUGAACAGCCUCCUUGGUACUGAGAGACGGCGCAGAGUCCUACAGUAGGCAGCAGUCGCGAAUCUUGCCCAAUCGGCGCGCGCCUGUUGCAGCGACGCCGCGUUCGGGAUGCCGUCCUUUGGGUUGUGAACCGCUUUCGCCUGUGACGCAGCGGGAGUGACGGUAAUGGGUAAAGAAGCACCGGCUAACUUCGUG
Molecule: ribosomal RNA, 468 nt
Filed under: uncultured bacterium
Lineage: Bacteria
Description: partial 16S ribosomal RNA
Rfam family: Bacterial small subunit ribosomal RNA
Source: RNAcentral